CAGCAUUCCUUGCAGUGCGGUGUUGUCGCCUCCACAUCGCCCGCGUACGUGCGAAGCUCUCACAGCCAUCUAUAGAUACUCUGGCAGCGCUGUCGCUACCAUCAUCACCGUCCAUCGCACACCUUACGGAUUCCGGCUCUUUGCUUUCCGUGCGUGGCCUCGCACGGAGGCACCUUCGCACUGCAGAAGCAGAGCGCGUCGGAGGGUAAAGCACGGACGCGAAGAUCCAAAACGCACCGAGGCUGAACCACGGAGGACCAGAUCACUUCCGUCUCGAUUCUUCCCGUCGCGCUCUACCCCCUCCCUUUUCACGCAGUCGCCAUCAUGCACGACUAUCAGUACAACCUGGAGGUGGUGAGCGUUGUCCCAGCCGAAGUGCUUACCGACACCGGGGACGAGCGUCGACACAAGCUCAUCUUUCACUGCACCCGGCGCGAUGCGAUAAUUCACUGCACCGCUGCACCGUCUACGUUCGAAGUGCGUAAUGCACCAAGCUUCGAGCUAGUUUCGAUCUCGCUUGUGGCGGUCGAUCGCACAGGCGGUAGCGAGCAUGUUGAGGCGAGCUCGUCGGACCCCCUUCUCAUUGGCGGUCCACAUCGCACGGUUGGAGCAGUAUGGGUGCCUUUAAGUUCCGUGUCCGCUGUGGAUUCCGCCGCCGAGGCAUCAGCUCCUGCCAGUCGUGUCUUUGUGGCCUGGUCGGUGACACGAAUGAAUGGCGAUUCAGUAAGAAAGGGUAAUCUAGAGCUGUCGCCAGGAAAGACGCCGCUUUUGACGCCAGACCCGACUGUCUCGCCCCUCAUUGCAUCGCCUUUCGUGCUAUCUGCUAUGGAAGACUGCCCGCCACCAAAUCACUUCAUCUCAACGCAACGGGGCGUAGCUUCGGAGCUCGAGAGCGCACAGGCAGAUGCACUCAAGGCCGCCACCGCAGCCACGGUCACGACGGUGACCACCACCGAUACGUUCCCCGUCACCAGUGGUGCUGGAGCCGGCUCAUCGCUUUCAUGUGCUGUCGUUGGAUUGUGUGUGCCACCGCCACACGGCGUCAUCUGCAGCGAGGAGGUUUUGUGGCCUCUUACCGCCUGCGAGGUGGAAUGGGCACGAGGGAGCAGAUUGACUGAAAGCACCAACGGACCUAUCGCAGACGAAGGCAGUGCUCUCUCUCUCCUCAUCUCUCGACUUGUUUUGGGCAGCAGCGUCACGAAUCCCGAAAUCAGUGCAGGAGGUCAAACGGGGCGCGUCUCCAUCGUGCUCGACGAGGGGCAGGAAACAAGCCAACAAUGCAUCGAGAACGACCGCUGCGGUGCCAGCUGUGCGUCAAGCAAACAUGCAGGGGGUCUCACAGCGCCGGGGCAAAAUCCAAUGCAUCGCGCUUUAGCUGCUGAUGUGGAGAGCCACGGCGCUGCCCCCUCCACGAGUGCGCUCUGCAAACCUGCGGAGCAGCAGGUUCUUGGCUGCCAAGAUGUGGUGCUAGAGCAGUUUCCAUUCCGCAGUGUGCCACUCACAUCAAAGGGCACGAUGGCUACUUCGUCACCACACUCGCCAGCAUGCACGCCGGCAGCCGAAUCAAGCGCAAACACCGCGCAUGCGGAAGAGGGUGCUGAGGACACCGGCGCCUCCGCCGACCACGUUGGUUCUUUGAAGCCCGACCCAGCACAUGCCGCAGCCGACGCGCGAACCACCACGUGGGUGGACUACUAUGCAUCCAGCACGCAGGCGAUCGGUGCUGUUCCUCUCCAGACUCGACUCCAGAAUUUGUACACAGUGCCGUCACCGCAGCUACUAGAUCGCUUGAAGGAUCAGUUGGGACCUCCGUCUUUGUCUGCGGCGUCGCCGACGGCAGAGCGGGCCCCAGUCACCGAUCACGGACUGUGGUAUGGGCGGAAUCGACAGAUCAACUUCUCUCAGUGUCGUGGGAGCAGCGGCUCUGCACAGGAGGAGAUUCGGCGCGAGCAAGAGGCGAAGCGGAGCGGCGCCGCGCUCCUUGCUGGCAUGCAGAUCGAUGAAGAAGACAACAGCGUGUGCUCGUCGGCUUCGCCGAUGGCUCGGGUGAGGGGACACUACGCGGAGGUGCGCACCGAAUCUGCCCUAGCGCUGCUGCGACGGCAGGCACUUGACAAACUGCAGCGACGGCGCAUCAGGUAGGGAGACUGCUUCGUCUACGCUCCCGUGAGGGACGAACACACGGAGGAGUCGAACAAGAAGCGUUGUCACGACGGGUCUCGGAAGAAUGAGGAUGAUAAGCCCUCCUUGUUUGCUCUGUGCCUUCACCAGGCUCGCGGCAGGUCAGCCGUGCGCCUCUCUCCGUGGUAUUCAUCCAGUCUUGUCGUCACCGCUGCCACGAAUGACUGGUGCUACCCGUAACUGCCCGUUUGUGCGCGCUACUCUCUCUGUCUCUCUGCCCCUUAUUAACGUCGUCCUAUUCCGUACCCGCCCGCACACGCACACCUCCGCCCUGUGCGCACGGACCCCCGUGUGCUCUACUUUCUCGCGACUUUAGCGAGCGAUAGAUACAAGUGAGAGAUAGAUACACUCUGUGACUCGACUCUUCAAGACACCCACUGCCUUAUUUUCGUUGUGCAGCUCUGCGGCCCCGCUUUUGUCUGUCUCUUUAUUUACCGGCGGGACCGCUGAUGUGCGUGUCCCGUGGCGCUGCCGCCUUCCCCACUUUCUGUGUGUCUGCCUCUGUCCAUCGCUGCGUAUCGCUGUCGCCGUAUGCGUUGGCGAAUGCUGCGACUUCUCACCCUGGCAGCGCUGCACGAAAAGCGCUUCCAGAUUUAGUUGAGGCGCACGUAUGAUGGCCUCGUUGUGGCCGGAGCGGAAGAUACCGAACAUGCGAACCGCAGCCGCAAGACAACGGCGACUUUCGGGGAGGGGGAUAGGGGCACAUGUUACUUCUCUCUCUCUCCUGCCCCUCCGACACCAUCAUUCACUGGCUCUCGGGCCCUCUUUCCGCAUGCGUACCGGAUGGGUGUGCAGCACCCGCAGCGGUGA
RNAcentral lists this unclassified non-coding RNA (2991 nucleotides) under Leishmania donovani. Its description in RNAcentral is "gene:LdHU3.32.2500(CDS-product:hypothetical_prote in_conserved)". The record is from RNAcentral. Lineage: Eukaryota; Euglenozoa; Kinetoplastea; Trypanosomatida; Trypanosomatidae.